GUAACCACUGCGGAACAGUCUAGAUGGCUACAUGCGCGUCCCUCAACACGCUCUCUGGCCGCCUGCUCACCUCCAUCGAAUCCCUCCAUGUCCCUGGUCGAUCUCCCACCUCAUCGGCCUCCCUCUCGGAGCUCCUCCUGGCCGAUCCCCAUGCCUGGUCAGAGGUGGAGUCACCGUGGGGAAUUUUGGCCCCUGAUUUUUUUCUCCCAUCCAACAGCCCACCACCAGCACGGGCACAUCACCGCGCCGGCUCGCCUAAUUUCCCACCCUUUUCUCCCUCUGCGACGAGGUAACCUGGAGGAGAGCUUCAGGCGCAGCCGCGAGGGGGAGGACCUCGGGGAGGCACGCCACGAAGAACCCGACCCAGGAGGCGGCAUCCAAGGAAUGGCCUAGCGGGAAGGAGACGAGUGCGAGCGGGCCGGGUGCCGGACGAGGGCGCCCCCCGCUAGCGCGGACGCGGACGUGAGCGCCGAGCCGGAGUCCGUGAGCGCGGAUGCGAGAGCGAGGUGGAGAGGCGCGAUUCCCCGUGGAAAGCGAGGAGCGCGCCCAUGGUGUGCACAAGCAGAGCACAACCAUGUGAGGAUCCGCGGCAGGUCGACCUGCACGAAGGGACAGGCUCCCUCUCUUGGCCCUGGCUUCCGCGACCAAUACCAUCUACAGACUACAGUUAGGGAUGGAUCCGGCUAGGAUUUUACAAAUUUGGGCGUAGUCUGCAACUGCUGAACUACAUCAAUCACCCUUUAAUCCCAGUGGGCAGUGGCCAAGGAACACAUGAGCGUCAAAGAUCUGAAGCCAAAUUGCUUGACUUAUCCAGUACCAGGCAGAGGUAAAAGUAUACAAAACCGAGAAACUAUAGCAUGCCAUCUGUAUCAGUUUGCAACCGAGUUUCCUCUUCUCAGAACUCCAGUGAAUUGGAUUCCUCUAAGCACAUGUCCGUAGUCAUUGACUCAUUGGCAGACCUCUUAUAGUAUGUAGUUCUUCCGAGAAUCUGUAAUUAACAAUACUUUUUGUUUGUGAAGUAUAAAUUUUAAAAGCAAGUUAAUAUUCAAUAUUUCCCUGAAUUAGUUCAUGAUUUACAACUUUGACAUGUUUGAGACAUUAAUUAAGAAGUGCAUGGCUAUCGCUUCAAGGGCUGCAUUACAUUUUCUCACAAGUAACUAAUAAUUAACUAUAUUGCCUCUUCGAUUCCUAUCAAAGAUUUCUAUUAGAGUUUGAACAGUUGAAAUCUUUAGAAAAAAAAUCUACGGAAGUUGUUUGAUUUGUUGGAUUUUUUCCUAUAGAAAAUCAGCUAAUUAUUCUAUCUCACUGAAAUAAUCAUUUGUUUCUCAUUUGGUGAAAGCAAACAAAUUUCAGUGAAAUUAUACCAUGUAUGGUUAGAGUGGGCAUGACACUGUAAUCAUAAAUUUACCUAUUCCAUCGUUUUGGAAUCUCGCAAAUAAAUAAUAUAAUUGAUAAGUUAACAUAUCGCCAAGACAAUGAUCUGUUCAUUAUGUGAAUAUCCAGCGUGUAUGUUGAAAGCAGUGUACACCUUCUGCCAAGAGUACUGUGCGUACUGCACUUAGUAAAAUAUUUGUUUGUGAUUAGUAGUCUUUACUCACACUGAAAACAUCAGGAUAGUCCUCCAGUUCUAAAUUCAUUCGCAUUAAAACUAUUACUUUGUAUUCCUUUACUUGAAAACCGGUAAAUUAAUACUGUUACAAGUUUCCACUGCAUGGGCUACUGUAACUCCACUUUAGAAAGCAGUCAUUAGAAGGAUCAAACUUGGCACAAAUGUAAUAUUAUGGCCACAUAGUCUGUUGGGAGAGUGCCAUGAACAUGUGGGCACGUAAAGAUAUCUUUGACGACCUUUCAUGCUUAGUAAAGCCUGAAAUAAUGGUAAUGGAUGUAUAGAGAAUGAGCACAAGUUUCCUUUACGUCUUAUCUUUUAGUUGAUUCUCUACCUAAAUGCUGCGAUUUCUACAAAAAAUCCAUUGCCAAAGUUUGACAAGCAAGAAAAAACAACUUGAGCCAAAAAAAAGAAAAAUUAUCUACUUCAUUCUCCAAGAAAUUUAUUUAUGCUUGGUGGGAACAAAAAAAUGUCCGCCAUUUUGUCCUUUCUUUUCCUUAGUACUUGUGGAAUAAGUUAUGGGCAGGGAAGAACACGAGGUGCACGGAUUCAUCCUCUCAGUCCGGCAAGGUUUGCUAAUUUCUUUGGAUCGUUUCUUUCACAAUAUGGAUGUACUUGAUUUGCUUGAUCUUUCACUUACAUGUGUUUCCUGUGUUCUUGAUACCAUGCCAAGAGUUCAAAAUUAUUUUUGGUUUAUGGGAUGGAUCUUCUGUAUAAAUUUCUAUGCAGAUUUCAGUUUUCUGGUAAGCUUCCGCAUAGGGUGGGGUGACAGAAGAUCCAUAGAAAAUUGACCCUAAUAAGGAUGAUGUCGGGGGAUGUCAAAAGAAGAUUUGCAGCCUUCGGGGAUAUUGUUGAGGAGGUUCAAAAAUGCAGAGGAAGGUGAGGUGACGCACAAGCAAAAGUCUUUUUUUGGCUUUUGAAUUAAAUUUGUCAUAUACGGCUUUGGUUACUGAGGCGAAAUCUCUCAGCAGUUGUAUGCUUAUCUUCUCUUACUGGCAUUUUGUAGGAGAGCCAUAGCUGUGAUUCUUCGAGUUUCAUAUGAGUAUUAUUAAUCUGUUCUUUCCUUAUUUAUAUUUUCUUUUUUUAAUCUCUCUGCUUCUUUCUAUAAAGAUGGAAGGAUGCAGAAUUAUUUAUUAAAAAAUGAUUACGAAGGAACAAAUUCCUAAGUAUUAGGUACUGUAAUUUUGAUUCUAAGAACUUAUAUAUGAUUGUGCUCUGCUCCAGCUCUCCUUAAAUAAAUUAACCCGUUAUUAAUACCCAAUUUUCUUAAGUCAAAUGUAAUAUUCUACUAUUAUUUUUGUUGAUUAUACUCUGCGUCUGAUCUUAGGAGUCCACAUUUUUGUUACUUCACUCAGCUAGCAACUUUCUUCGUUUCCUAAUCUCUCUCAAAAGGAGUCCACAUUUUUGUUACUUCACUCAGCUAGCAACUUUCUUCGUUCCUAAUCUCUCUCAAAUGGUUAUUGGUAAAAUAUAAGUCUUGAAUAUGAGCAUUAUUAAACUACUGCUGGCGAAAGCGAGAAUGUUCUUCUCUGCACAUGAGAAACAACAUAGGCAAUUUGCUUAUCAUUCAAUGUUUGGCUUUCAUAUGUAAUCCAAUUGAAUGUGGUUCCAUGGUUUUGCUUUGAUCUCUAUACUGUAAGCUUAACUUGGAAUUUUAGUGUAGAACCAAUGGUCGUGGAUACAAAAAUAUAUCAAUGCCUCAACACUUUCUGCCAUGGACAAUUUAUUUGGUUCUCCAUACCAUAAAACAUAGCAUUAUUGUGGGCGUAUCAGGCCAAUGAAAUCCAAGAUGAUGGAAGCAAAAUGUAUCAAUGAGGAAUGGCAAAAUUGUUUGAUAUAUAUCCAGAUGUUAGUCUUCUGUCUAUCUGUACUAGCAGCAGAGAAGAUUUUGUGUGGAAAAAAGAGGAGUACGGGUUUACUAUGAAGUUCCACGCGCAGUAACCACCUAUUUUAUCAGCUGACGGUUUUAGCUGCUACAGCAACUUCUAAUGAGCACUUGAGUUCUGCUCCUUGAAAAGGUUGUAACCACAUAUCCAGAGUAUGUACUAUGUGAACUCUUUGUAAGCGGCGUGCCAUCAUUGUUAACGGCAUCGUAAGUGUAGUCCAUGUGUAUUGCAUAAAUAUGUUCCAUAGUCUAAGAGUAUAGGUUUUAUGAACCUAUAGUUUGUAAAUUCUGAAUGCCCACACUUCGUGAUCUACCUAUCUAGCUUACUUUCGGUUA
Molecule: long non-coding RNA, 3827 nt
Organism: Lolium perenne
Lineage: Eukaryota; Viridiplantae; Streptophyta; Magnoliopsida; Poales; Poaceae
Source: RefSeq, a predicted model, not a curated record